RNAcentral lists this ribosomal RNA (253 nucleotides) under uncultured bacterium. RNAcentral describes it as "partial 16S ribosomal RNA". It matches the Rfam family "Bacterial small subunit ribosomal RNA", at positions 524 to 776 of the family's 1533-position model. The record is from RNAcentral.
UACGAAGGGGGCUAGCGUUGUUCGGAAUUACUGGGCGUAAAGCGCACGUAGGCGGAUCGAUCAGUCAGGGGUGAAAUCCUGGAGCUCAACUCCAGAACUGCCUUUGAUACUGAAGAUCUUGAGUUCGGGAGAGGUGAGUGGAACUGCGAGUGUAGAGGUGAAAUUCGUAGAUAUUCGCAAGAACACCAGUGGCGAAGGCGGCUCACUGGCCCGGUACUGACGCUGAGGUGCGAAAGCGUGGGGAGCAAACAGG